RNAcentral lists this ribosomal RNA (443 nucleotides) under uncultured bacterium. Its description in RNAcentral is "partial 16S ribosomal RNA". It matches the Rfam family "Bacterial small subunit ribosomal RNA", at positions 338 to 795 of the family's 1533-position model. The record is from RNAcentral.
ACUACGGGGGGCAGCAGUGGGGAAUAUUGGGCAAUGGGCGCAAGCCUGACCCAGCAACGCCGCGUGAAGGAAGAAGGCUUUCGGGUUGUAAACUUCUUUUCUCAGGGACGAAGCAAGUGACGGUACCUGAGGAAUAAGCCACGGCUAACUACGUGCCAGCAGUCGCGGUAAUACGUAGGUGGCAAGCGUUAUCCGGAUUUACUGGGGGUAAAGGGCGUGUAGGCGGGAAAGCAAGUCAGAUGUGAAAACCAUGGGCGCAACCUGUGGCCUGCAUUUGAAACUGUUUUUCUUGAGUACUGGAGAGGCAGACGGAAUUCCUAGUGUAGCGGUGAAAUGCGUAGAUAUUAGGAGGAACACCAGUGGCGAAGGCGGUCUGCUGGACAGCAACUGACGCUGAGGCGCGAAAGCGUGGGGAGCAAACAGGAUUAGAUACCCGGGUAGUC